UCUGUCGGUGAACUCAGGCUGACUGAUGGUCGAGUGUCUUUGCAUCUUUCCAUUCGUCGCCUGCCAAGACGCCGGAUUACAGUGAGGACGGGAUAAUGUCCGAGUCCACUUGUCCAGACAUUUUCUACACGUGCACUGGUGGAGAAAACACCGUGGGAUGCCGUUGUCUUCCUCUGUUAUUGCUGGUUGUUUUGUGGUUGAUUAAGCUGUUUAUAUUUUCAUAGCAGUGGCAAGACGAAUUACUGAUGAAGUUUUUAGAGAGCUGAACCAAGAACCAGCAGUCUGUUUCCUUCAAGCUGGGGCUCAGAAGUGAUAGAGGGAGGAAGGAAGGAAGGAAGGAAGGAAAGAAGGAAGGCAAUCUGACCAAGAGUAGCUAAAACUAGGACAUCCUGAUGAGGAAUACAGGUGGCCCCUGCAAGAGGAAAAACAUACCAAGAUGCUGUUCUUGAUAAAAAAAAAAAAAAAAAAAACAAGGAAAGAAAAAAAAAACAAUACUUCAAAGCUGGUGACACAAACAUUCC
Long non-coding RNA from Sphaeramia orbicularis (orbiculate cardinalfish), 521 nucleotides. RefSeq lists it as uncharacterized. NCBI's taxonomy places the organism in Eukaryota, Metazoa, Chordata, Actinopteri, Kurtiformes, Apogonidae. The record is from RefSeq and is a predicted model, not a curated record. The transcript has 3 exons.